Molecule: small nucleolar RNA, 240 nt
Filed under: Genlisea aurea
Lineage: Eukaryota; Viridiplantae; Streptophyta; Magnoliopsida; Lamiales; Lentibulariaceae
Description: Plant small nucleolar RNA U3
Rfam family: Plant small nucleolar RNA U3
About the family: Small nucleolar RNAs (snoRNAs) are involved in the processing and modification of rRNA in the nucleolus. There are two main classes of snoRNAs: the box C/D class, and the box H/ACA class.
Source: Rfam by way of RNAcentral
ACGACCUUACUUGAACAGGAUCUGUUCUAUAGGCUCGUACAUCCUCCUCAGCAAGAGGAAAGAUAGCAAGGAAUUUAAACUUGGACGAUGAUAGAAUGACCGCUCGAUCCGAGCGUGAUGUACGUACGGCGCCCGCUGUGACAACAGUUCAUAUCGGUGUUUGUCGGUUGAGGAUCGUUCUCGAGUGUGGUGUGUUAUAAUAUCUGCACCCGAGAUGGUCGAGUGGUGGUCUGACAAGUU